CACGCUGUAAACGAUGGGUACUAGGUGUCGGGGGUUACCCCCCUCGGUGCCGCAGCUAACGCAUUAAGUACUCCGCCUGGGAAGUACGCUCGCAAGAGUGAAACUCAAAGGAAUUGACGGGGACCCGAACAAGUAGCGGAGCAUGUGGUUUAAUUCGAAGCAACGCGAAGAACCUUACCUAAGCUUGACAUCCCAAUGACAUCUCCUUAAUCGGAGAGUUC
Molecule: ribosomal RNA, 221 nt
Filed under: Clostridioides difficile
Lineage: Bacteria; Bacillati; Bacillota; Clostridia; Peptostreptococcales; Peptostreptococcaceae
Description: partial 16S ribosomal RNA
Rfam family: Bacterial small subunit ribosomal RNA
Source: RNAcentral